CCUACGGGCGGCAGCAGUGAGGAAUAUUGGUCAAUGGGCGGAAGCCUGAACCAGCCAAGUAGCGUGCAGGAUGACGGCCCUACGGGUUGUAAACUGCUUUUAUACGGGAAUAACGCGCCUUACGUGUAGGGCUUUGCAUGUACCGGAUGAAUAAGGACCGGCUAAUUCCGUGCCAGCAGCCGCGGUAAUACGGAAGGUCCGGGCGUUAUCCGGAUUUAUUGGGUUUAAAGGGAGCGUAGGCCGCAUGUCAAGCGUGCUGUGAAAUGUCCGGGCCUAACCCGGGCCUUGCAGGGGGAACUGGCUGGCUUGAGUCCGCGGAAAGCAGGCGGAAUGCGUCGUGUAGCGGUGAAAUGCUUAGAUAUGACGAAGAACCCCGAUUGCGAAGGCAGCUUGCUGCAGCGGAACUGACGCUGAUGCUCGAAAGCGCGGGUAUCGAACAGGAUUAGAUACCCGGGUAGUC
This 460-nucleotide ribosomal RNA is filed under the name uncultured bacterium. RNAcentral describes it as "partial 16S ribosomal RNA". It matches the Rfam family "Bacterial small subunit ribosomal RNA", at positions 338 to 795 of the family's 1533-position model. The record is from RNAcentral.